Polistes canadensis is the source of this 565-nucleotide long non-coding RNA. RefSeq lists it as uncharacterized. The transcript has 2 exons. Lineage: Eukaryota; Metazoa; Arthropoda; Insecta; Hymenoptera; Vespidae. The record is from RefSeq and is a predicted model, not a curated record.
AUGAUUUCUUUCGUUAUACGCAUGUGCAAAUUCUUAAUAUAAACAACAUAGAAAAGUUGUUUUUCAGUUAGCAUUAGUCUUGUACAAGAGAGGUGAUUUAUAUUAAAAUAGAAUUUUUAAUGUAAGAAAAAACUUCGUAGCUUAUCCAUUUUUCUCGUUAAAUUUCCUGUUAUUAUUAUGGUUAACUCCAAAUAUGCUUGAGAAACUUUUCUACAAUACUUUCUCUACACAGCCCACCUUUCUACAGAAGCUGUCAUACCGUCUCUUUAGAAUCAACACCUUAUAAUGUUCCAAAGUGGUCACUCAUCCAAGUACUAAUCAUGUCCAUUGUAAUUUAAUUUUAGUGAUUGUACAGGAACCAGGUUUUUUAAUGAAGCAUAGUCAUUGACAGUAUAUAAUAUGAUUAGUAACAUAAGAAAGACUUAAAAGAGUGAUUUUUAGUAUGUGAAUGAAUAGAAAGAAUGAAUGAUAAGACAGCUUAUAUUUGUUAUUAGGAAAUUAUAAACCAACUCCUAUUCAUAGCUACAAAGCUGAAUAUAUUUUAAAUAAACUAAACUAAACUAAA